Betta splendens (Siamese fighting fish) is the source of this 1694-nucleotide long non-coding RNA. RefSeq lists it as uncharacterized. Lineage: Eukaryota; Metazoa; Chordata; Actinopteri; Anabantiformes; Osphronemidae. The record is from RefSeq and is a predicted model, not a curated record. The transcript is spliced from 2 exons.
GACGUUUCUAUAAAUCAGUCAGUCACACAUGUGGUUUUCAGAUUGAGACAUUUUCAUCGAGUAGGACGGUGAGUUUUCUCUGUUAUCCAGUGACCUUUUUUUCAUGGCACCGCUAAUAACAAUAACCACCGGUCCAAUACUUCACCUGGCGUCACAGUUCAGUCGAUCUCUGCUUGUGACAGACCUUAUGAGCUUGUCGGUCGUCACCCUCCUCCUGCAGCAGCCUCAUUAGGUGCCAUCUGCCCGUGAUGACAGCUUAAUACACACCUGGUCUGACCUUCAAUUCUGCAGGCAGCCAGAGGACAGAGUUACCAUGGAAACAGAUGGAAACCUACAGCACGUCUCCCAUUAAAUGUAAUAAUGAGAGUAGAGGCGGUAUUUCUACCCGUAGAAGACAGUACUUAAGCUUUGGCCAUGUUUCAUCAUUUGCAGAGUCACAGUCUGUGGCGCUGACACAGAUGUGGCUAUAAACCACUGCAGGGGUUUGAUGCGGAGUCUGAUCAGUAAAACAGAGAUAACGGGCGGAACACAAGCGAGCAGGGUCGUCAUUCACGGCCGGGUAGACGUGAACACUGGGCACACUGUGCUGCUGGAGGCGAUGUCUGCCGAGAGAUGCUAUCGUUACCUCAUAGCUACAAUGGUCCCACAGACGGCAGACAGUGAACCAGCUGCACAGACGCUCUGCCAGGAAGACUGCGCCCCCUACAGGAGCAAAGCGUAAGGACGUGACCGUGCAGGUUUGGAUGCACGACUGCCGGAGCUAUUUCCUGUUGGCAUCCCUUGCUUCUCCUCUCAUGACGACGCACUCCGGCAUGCAGGAGGGAAGAGGAGAAGAGGGGUGAGCGCGGGAUGGAGCGGUUACCUCGCUUUCUAACGGAACGAUGACCAGGUGUCGCACAGGAUUUAAGACAACACACACAUUACAUUGUGAGAAGUCACUGGAUUCAGUGUUUGAGAGCAUUUGGAGAGUGGGUGAAUUUCCUACGCAGGCUUGUGGGUUUGUCUCCUCCCUCACCUGUUUUUCUCCUCUCCCCACUUAUUUUUCCCGUCUCUUUCUGUCAGCUCCUCCCACCCAACGGCUUUCAUGCCAGAUGUUAUCAGCUGAUUCUGGGUGAGACCACAAUGGAGCACGUUUGGGGAGGAGAGGAUGCAUCAUCUUUGUGUUAAAGUGUGACAGUUUGGUAUUUAUUGAAUGUGUAUGUGAACAUGAUACAAAGUUGGGUUUCUGGUCAUACAGUAUAUAACACAAUAGCCACAUCUGUAAACACUAUGCAUCCUCUUCUGCACAGAUAUAAACAAAUCAUAUACUGUCAGACAAACCUUUUGGUUUGAUCUGUGGCCACUGCAGUGAUAUAAGGAAAAAUGAAAAAUGUGCAAAUGAAUCAAUGUGUUAUUUAAUCUGCUCUGCCUGCUGAGAGCCUGGCAGACAGCUGACCUGCUUCUGAUGCAGGGCCAGGACAUCUGCGAGCCAUUUACAUUGUUUUGACUGAGGACUUAACCACUUUCAGCCUGGUCUUAGUGUAAUACAGCAAAAUGAGUCACACAGCCAAUAGCAAAAGGUUUCACACUUCAACUCAAAAUGAGCGUUUAUUAUUUUUCAUGUACUGCACUGUUGCAGUGUUGUUGUUACGUAUAUGACUCAUGCAUGUUGGUACUGUACUGUGUAAAAUUAAAAGAGAUGGGGAUUGUUCUGA